This 946-nucleotide ribosomal RNA is filed under the name Nellya rugosa. RNAcentral describes it as "bacterial SSU rRNA". It matches the Rfam family "Eukaryotic small subunit ribosomal RNA", at positions 1160 to 1801 of the family's 1831-position model. Lineage: Eukaryota; Foraminifera. The record is from RNAcentral.
AAGGGCACCACAAGAACGCGUGGAGCAUGUGGCUUAAUUUGACUCAACGCGGGAAAUCUUACCGGGUCCGGACACACUGAGGAUUGACAGGCGAUUGUAGUUCUUCUCUUCGGGGUUGUUCUACUAUAAAUAUGCUAGUCCUUUCAUGAUUGUGUGAUAGGUGGUGCAUGGCCGUUCUUAGUUCGUGGAGUGAUCUGUCUGCUUAAUUGCGUUUCACAAAGGAGCCGUUACGCCCGUUAGUUGCGCGGUACUUCGGUGCCUGUCGCACUGCGGGGAAGGUCUCCUGAAGGCAACGAACGUGACCGCAACCUCUUGUUGCCUCCUUCCCUUAUGGGACAUGGGAUUUGCUUUUGCUUUUGCAUUUGUCUUUUCCCUGCAUUUGGAGUUUGCCAACUAGAGGGACCGCUGACAACUUUUAAAACAGAGGAAGGUUGCGGCAAUAACAGGUCUGUGAUGCCCUUAGAUGUUCCGGGCUGCACACGUGCUACAAUGAUUAUUGCAGUGAGCAUCUAAUUUACACGGCUCGGUUUGUGUUUAGUGUUUCGAUACUCUACACAUCCGGCCAAUCACCUGUUUCGAAAGCAAACAGGCAAUCAAUUGGAAGUAAUGAUUUCCUUUCUCGCACAUAUUUAUGACCCUUGUUUGUAGCCGUGCCUUUCCUUGUGUUAGGUAUCGUUUGCUACCCUGGGUUAUGUGCUCCAUUUAUUUCAUGGUGGGGACAGACCAUUGUUAAUUGUUGGUCUCGGUCUCAACCAGGAAUGCCUUGUACGGGUCUUUGGUUCAACAAACCACCCGGAAUAUGUCCCUGCCCUUUGUACACACCGCCCGUCGCUCUUACCGAUGGACUUCUCUAUGAGUUCAGAGGACUGGCUUUUCAUUUCUUUGAAACGCUAUGGAAAUCUGUGCGAAUAGUAUAGUCUAAAGGAAAGAGAAGUCGAACAAGGCA